GAUGAACGCUGGCGGCGUGCCUAAUACAUGCAAGUCGAGCGAACAGAUGAGGAGCUUGCUCCUCUGACGUUAGCGGCGGACGGGUGAGUAACACGUGGAUAACCUACCUAUAAGACUGGGAUAACUUCGGGAAACCGGAGCUAAUACCGGAUAAUAUAUUGAACCGCAUGGUUCAAUAGUGAAAGACGGUUUUGCUGUCACUUAUAGAUGGAUCCGCGCCGCAUUAGCUAGUUGGUAAGGUAACGGCUUACCAAGGCAACGAUGCGUAGCCGACCUGAGAGGGUGAACGGCCACACUGGAACUGAGACACGGUCCAGACUCCUACGGGAGGCAGCAGUAGGGAAUCUUCCGCGAUGGGCGAAAGCCUGACGGAGCAACGCCGCGUGAGUGAUGAAGGUCUUCGGAUCGUAAAACUCUGUUAUUAGGGAAGAACAAAUGUGUAAGUAACUAUGCACGUCUUGACGGUACCUAAUCAGAAAGCCACGGCUAACUACGUG
This 497-nucleotide ribosomal RNA is filed under the name uncultured bacterium. RNAcentral's name for it is "partial 16S ribosomal RNA". It matches the Rfam family "Bacterial small subunit ribosomal RNA", at positions 28 to 507 of the family's 1533-position model. The record is from RNAcentral.